CAAAGGUAGCAUAAUCAUUAGUUUUUUAAUUGAAAGCUGGAAUGAAAGGUUGGACGAGAAAAUGACUGUCUCAAUUUAAUUUUAAUUAGAAUUUUAUUUUUAAGUAAAAAAGCUUAAAUAAUUUUAAAAGACGAGAAGACCCUAUAGAAUUUUAUAUAUUUUAAAAUAAAUGUUUUUAAGUUAAUUUUUAUUUUUAUUUAAAAAUGUAUUUUGUUGGGGUGAUAGGGAAAUUUAAUGAACUUUCUUUUUUUUAUAUCAUUAAUUUAUGAUUAGAUGAUCCAUGUUUUAUGAUUAUAAGAUUAAAUUACCUUAGGGAUAACAGCGUAUUUUUU
This 332-nucleotide ribosomal RNA is filed under the name Pachypus sp. Pcand1. RNAcentral describes it as "partial 16S ribosomal RNA". The record is from RNAcentral. Lineage: Eukaryota; Metazoa; Arthropoda; Insecta; Coleoptera; Scarabaeidae.